CUCAUUCCUAACGACCGUCAUUCCUCCUUUCUUUGGCACUAAUUGGACAGGGCUAACCCACUCACUAUGUGGCACAGGAUAAAUAAUCCCAGCACGAUAGAGUUUGAGGACCUUUUUCUUAACAACCUCUCGCAUAGCAUUGUUAAGUCUCCAUUGUGGUUCCCUUGAAGGUGUAAAAUUGGGAUCAAUAGGGAUACGAUGAGUGUAGAGAAUGGGACUAAUGCCCAUGAGAUCUUCGAGAGAGUAGCCAAAUGCUGAUCUAUGCCUUUCAAGAACAGUGAAAAGUUGUUGUGUUUCAUAAUCGAAAAGCUUGUCACUGAUUUGGGUUGUUGUGCAAAAAGACAUAUUUAAGGCCAG
This 357-nucleotide long non-coding RNA is filed under the name Sorghum bicolor (sorghum). RNAcentral's name for it is "long non-coding RNA (SBIC_LNC004851)". The record is from RNAcentral. Lineage: Eukaryota; Viridiplantae; Streptophyta; Magnoliopsida; Poales; Poaceae.